GGCCGCCUUGGCUGUGGCGCCCUGUGUGUCGGGCUGUCUGGCUGCUUCCUGGGCGUUGGCGGGCGGCGUUCCGGGCCCUUUCCUCCGUGCUCAUGGCCCCGCAGUGCCGGCGCAGGGAGGCCGCGGGCCGGGCCCGAGGAGCGCGGGAAGCCUCCCUGUGGCGCCGAAUUGCCAGAGAUUCAUCCAUUUAAUGGGCUGUUUGAAGAACCAACUAUUGAUUAUGUUGAUCUUACAGGUGUUUGGAAGUAUAUCCUGACACUCAUCUGUCCGUCUCUUGAUUUCACACCAUGGUGAGAGAGAAAAAGUGAGCCUGAGCCUCUCGGUGAUGUGGACUGAGGAGGUGGCAGACAUGGGCUGCUCUGAUACGGGGGGAUGCUGUGGUGAAUAGAAACUGGCUGCUGAGGUGGAAGAACUCUAUCUUUUCUG
This is a long non-coding RNA of Eptesicus fuscus (big brown bat), 426 nucleotides long. RefSeq lists it as uncharacterized. The transcript has 4 exons. The record is from RefSeq and is a predicted model, not a curated record. NCBI's taxonomy places the organism in Eukaryota, Metazoa, Chordata, Mammalia, Chiroptera, Vespertilionidae.